GAGGAAUAUUGCACGAAUGGGCGAAAGCCUGAUGCAGCAACGCCGCGUGGAGGACGAAGGCCCUCGGGUCGUAAACUCCUGUCAGAAGGGACGAAAAGGUUUCGGUCAAUAUCCGGAAUCUCUGACGGUACCU
Molecule: ribosomal RNA, 133 nt
Filed under: uncultured bacterium
Lineage: Bacteria
Description: partial 16S ribosomal RNA
Rfam family: Bacterial small subunit ribosomal RNA
Source: RNAcentral